RNAcentral lists this ribosomal RNA (615 nucleotides) under Penicillium sp. BAB-3302. RNAcentral describes it as "eukaryotic LSU rRNA". The stretch from base 205 to 358 matches the Rfam family "5.8S ribosomal RNA". Lineage: Eukaryota; Fungi; Ascomycota; Eurotiomycetes; Eurotiales; Aspergillaceae. The record is from RNAcentral.
GUAGGUGAACCUGCGGAAGGAUCAUUACCGAGUGAGGGCCCUCUGGGUCCAACCUCCCACCCGUGUUUAUCGUACCUUGUUGCUUCGGCGGGCCCGCCUCACGGCCGCCGGGGGGCAUCCGCCCCCGGGCCCGCGCCCGCCGAAGACACACAAACGAACUCUUGUCUGAAGAUUGCAGUCUGAGUACUUGACUAAAUCAGUUAAAACUUUCAACAACGGAUCUCUUGGUUCCGGCAUCGAUGAAGAACGCAGCGAAAUGCGAUAAGUAAUGUGAAUUGCAGAAUUCAGUGAAUCAUCGAGUCUUUGAACGCACAUUGCGCCCCCUGGUAUUCCGGGGGGCAUGCCUGUCCGAGCGUCAUUGCUGCCCUCAAGCACGGCUUGUGUGUUGGGCUCUCGCCCCCCGCUUCCGGGGGGCGGGCCCGAAAGGCAGCGGCGGCACCGCGUCCGGUCCUCGAGCGUAUGGGGCUUCGUCACCCGCUCUGUAGGCCCGGCCGGCGCCCGCCGGCGAACACCAUCAAUCUUAACCAGGUUGACCUCGGAUCAGGUAGGGAUACCCGCUGAACUUAAGCAUAUCAAUAAGCGGAGGAAAAGAAACCAACAGGGAUUGCCUCAGUA